This 449-nucleotide small RNA is filed under the name uncultured Glomus. Its description in RNAcentral is "SSU rRNA". It matches the Rfam family "Eukaryotic small subunit ribosomal RNA", at positions 569 to 1025 of the family's 1831-position model. Lineage: Eukaryota; Fungi; Glomeromycota; Glomeromycetes; Glomerales; Glomeraceae. The record is from RNAcentral.
AGCAGCCGCGGUAAUUCCAGCUCCAAUAGCGUAUAUUAAAGUUGUUGCAGUUAAAAAGCUCGUAGUUGAAUUUCGGGAUCAGUACGUUGGUCGUGCCUUGGUACGUACUGGUGUAACUGAUUCCUCCCUUCUGACGAACCGUCAUGCCAUUCACUUGGUGUGGCGGGAAAUCAGGACUGUUACUUUGAAAAAUUAGAGUGUUUAAAGCAGGCUCGCGCUUGAAUACAUUAGCAUGGAAUAAUGAAAUAGGACGUUAAUCCUAUUUUGUUGGUUUCUAGGAUCGACGUAAUGAUUAAUAGGGAUAGUUGGGGGCAUUAGUAUUCAAUUGUCAGAGGUGAAAUUCUUGGAUUUAUUGAAGACUAACUACUGCGAAAGCAUUUGCCAAGGAUGUUUUCAUUAAUCAAGAACGAAAGUUAGGGGAUCGAAGACGAUCAGAUACCGUCGUAGUC